AAUAUUGCUUUAAACUACAAAGCUUUGCAUAACAUGAUUUUGAAAUGCCAGGUCGAUUGCAAAACAUAAGAUUUCUCAUGUCUUUUUUAGUCUCAAAACUUGUGGCCUAAACUAAAUUGCUAAGAGAGGAUUACUCCAAUUUGUAACAAUGCACUAAUUUAAGAAAGUCAGAGGUCUUAUAUCAUUUAGUGAUUUUAGCAUGCAACAAGGAAAGGCAUGAUCCAUACAAGCUUAUUAUGACUUUCUAAGUCAAAAUACUAUAAAAUUUAUUCAAUUUGAAUAUUGCUUUCAACUGGACUAGAACAAUAUUGAGCAUAAUAUAUUACAUAUUUGAAUCAAAAUCUAGGUGCCCAAAAAAUGAAGUUCAAUUUUAAUUUGGGGUUAUCAAAUUUUGAGUAGUUUCCUUCUUUUAUAUACUCGAGUGAAUGGAGUGACUUUCUUCUUUUAUAUAUCCAAGAAUUUCACUGGGUGUAUUCACUACAACAAAAAUAACUUUUAGCGGCAAUAAAUAUUGACAUUAAUAAAGAGUGCUAAAGUAUUUA
RNAcentral lists this long non-coding RNA (542 nucleotides) under Solanum tuberosum (potato). RNAcentral describes it as "long non-coding RNA (STUB_LNC008550)". Lineage: Eukaryota; Viridiplantae; Streptophyta; Magnoliopsida; Solanales; Solanaceae. The record is from RNAcentral.